Molecule: ribosomal RNA, 492 nt
Filed under: uncultured bacterium
Lineage: Bacteria
Description: partial 16S ribosomal RNA
Rfam family: Bacterial small subunit ribosomal RNA
Source: RNAcentral
AGUGAACGCUGGCGGUAGGCCUAACACAUGCAAGUCGAACGGCAGCACAGUAAGAGCUUGCUCUUACGGGUGGCGAGUGGCGGACGGGUGAGGAAUACAUCGGAAUCUACUUUUUCGUGGGGGAUAACGUAGGGAAACUUACGCUAAUACCGCAUACGACCUACGGGUGGAAGCAGGGGAUCUUCGGACCUUGCGCGAUUGAAUGAGCCGAUGUCGGAUUAGCUAGUUGGCGGGGUAAAGGCCCACCAAGGCGACGAUCCGUAGCUGGUCUGAGAGGAUGAUCAGCCACACUGGAACUGAGGCACGGUCCAGACUCCUACGGGAGGCAGCAGUGGGGAAUAUUGGACAAUGGGCGCAAGCCUGAUCCAGCCAUACCGCGUGGGUGAAGAAGGCCUUCGGGUUGUAAAGCCCUUUUGUUGGGAAAGAAAAGCAGCAGGUUAAUACCCCGCUGUUCUGACGGUACCCAAAGAAUAAGCACCGGCUAACUUCGUG